AUGACCCUCUCCAGGAGGGACACGAUGCUCUGCUUCUGGACUUAUCUCUUCGUUUGGCACCUGUGUUGAACAGUGAUGACCGAUACCACAAGGAGGCGUUCAAUCAGAAACAAUUUUCUAUCUUGAAAUUCCACUCAGAGAUAUCAACACUUCCACCUUCUUCUUACUAGAAAGCAAUAUAUUGAAGAGAUUGAAAUUAGGUCAUCCAGUGAAGGAGGAAAUUCCCAAACAACUCGGAUCAUUUAUAAUAUGGUCAGAAAGCCACUGCUAGAAUUUUGGGACCAAAGCCCUCAUUCCAUUGCAACUCCAAAGUUAAUAUCCAGAAAUGAACUGUGUACUUACGUCAAACCCAGAGCCUUAAUCAAGGCAGAAAAUUCCAAUGAUCCGCAAAGAGAUACAUUUGGUUCAUCGAAGAUCCCUUGAGAGCCACUUAAAAACAUUAUAAUUAUGUUGAAGUGCUUAAGAGGAAGGCAAAGAAAUAAUGCAAGCCACCUUCACUCAAGCAACACCUCAAUAAAAACACACUGCCUGAAAAACCGAGGAUAGUACUAGGUCCGUGCUGGUACUCUUAACCAAAAUACCAGGAAAAGAAUGGUAAAA
Molecule: long non-coding RNA, 600 nt
Organism: Pseudophryne corroboree (corroboree frog)
Lineage: Eukaryota; Metazoa; Chordata; Amphibia; Anura; Myobatrachidae
Exons: 3
Source: RefSeq, a predicted model, not a curated record